UUUCCUACUUCCCCCACGAUCCGUCCGAGUGCGGCAGGUGCACAGCGAUACUUAUCACGCGUACCGCUCGCUCGGGGGGUGGGUGCUCGGCAGUCGGGCGUAGAGACCGUCGAGCGCGGAGAGAGGAGACGAGGGGGCGAGGUCGGCGGAGAGGGGGCGAAGGGAGGGGAGGAGAGUGUUUGGGAUCGCGGCGGUGUGGGACGCGUCGGCGACGUAGGGAGGGGCGAGAGGUGAGCUGGCCGGGGUCUAGCUCGCCUAGCUGCGGGUCUAGGCGUCGCCGUGGCCGUGCCCGCGCGGCAGCAGGUCGACCAGGAGCUCCUAGCUACCUACCCCCACCUUGGGAUCGGGGUGUGGGUGGGUACCUACUGCUGCCGUCGCCGGAAGAGAGCUACCCCACCCCUCGCUUCGAAGGACUACGCCACCGGGAGCUACGGACGCUGCCCGACGUCGUGGAUCUGAAGUUUCGACAGCCGGCCGGGGCUACCUCGGAACGUCGCCGACCCGCACUGGUACGAGACGGAGGCGACCACUCUCGACACUCCUCAGUCUCUCCCUCUAACUCCUCCUCCUUCUACUAUGUGGGCCGUCGCGCUGUGUACGCAGAGGGUUGCCGCGAACGUUGCCCUCUAGGCACCCCUCCCCCCAGCCCUCCUCCGGGGGUCGCCGCACGAGCGUGUGCGUAAGGUGCUGCUGGUGUAGUGGUCGCGGGGACGGUAGGAGGAGGUUCGGGUACCGGUCACCGAGGGGUUCCGGUUCGAUACAGUCCGACGUCGUCGUUCCACUCGGGGUAGUGAGACGCAAAUAAAGAAGUCUAGUACGUCGUCGUUACACUGACUCCUUAGCUACGAAAUGUAUUAACUAGUCAAUUGACCAUUAUAUAGAUAUCUUAUCGGUUCGUUUUUUGUAACGCAAAGGAUCUACAAAGUAUGCUAUAAUUUCAACCUUGGUCCGAUUAUCUGUUUAACAUAUAGGCUAAUACGAUCUUUUUCCUCUUAUUUUUCAAAUGAAAAUACUACCAUCCUACAGAAGGAAUCAAAACAAAGGAUACAAGAGAGUUUUUUUUAGACCCGAUGUGGUAGUCAUAGUUGUGGCCAUUUUUCUUAGGUUAGUUUUGUACUACAAAAGGGGAACCGAUAUACAAAUAAACUUCCUUUGGUAAGUUAAGAGUCACUAGAAAGUAAUACGAGGAAUAACGGUAAAAAGGAUUACACGGAUAUCUUCACUAAAUAGUCCACAAAACUAUAUAAUAGAAUAUUCCCUUACGGUUUCAAAAAAACCUAACACUUAAGAGACCAGUCUUAGCCAACAAAAAGGGAACACAAGUAAAUAAAGAGUCUAACGUCUUGACUGCUCACAUCUGAUUCAACUACUAGAUAUCCACAACGAGGAGAGGGGACUACACAUCACGUUGAUAUUUAUCCCUCUCUUAACACACUCCUCUCGAGAGAACGAUGACAAGACUCGAGUGAGAAACUGAUUAGAUUUACAACAGAGACGAGUGACUAGCUAGUUCCUUCUGUGACUAUAUAGUCGUUCCUGGUCGUGUUUUUCUUCUGGUUAAUUCAAUGAACACAAAUUCUCAUGUGAUGAAAACUGAAACCUCAGUGUGACCACGUACCCCGCAGCGUACCAGAUACGACCUCCACAAGUGUAUAUUGUUCAAGUGAUAAACAAGGUAACCAGUCAACAUAUUAGACACCCGCAUAAAUUCAACUUGAUACGAGGAAAGAACCAUAAACCUCUGUUCUAUGACCGUCAAAAAUGCAAUGUUCUGACAAAUAAUCAAUAAACAUCAAAACAUUGUGAGAGGUAACAGUUACCAUCAAGUCUAAGAAGUCCUUCUUACCCAGAACAUAAAUAUAAUAAGUUAACACGUUAUUAUCUAUCUAUUGUUUUCUAUCUAUGAAUUCUUCAAAUGUCUAAACUCAUACUUUCAAAGUGGGGCCACUCACACCAUAACUUAGUAUUGAGAUUAACACCAAAUCAAAUAAGAUCCAAUGGCCAUGUCUCAUACUUGUGAACGUCUCAAAUUUACCAUUUCGUCG
Molecule: ribosomal RNA, 2045 nt
Filed under: Triticum aestivum (bread wheat)
Lineage: Eukaryota; Viridiplantae; Streptophyta; Magnoliopsida; Poales; Poaceae
Description: partial small subunit ribosomal RNA
Source: RNAcentral